Molecule: ribosomal RNA, 407 nt
Filed under: uncultured bacterium
Lineage: Bacteria
Description: partial 16S ribosomal RNA
Rfam family: Bacterial small subunit ribosomal RNA
Source: RNAcentral
GACGAACGCUGGCGGCGUGCUUAACACAUGCAAGUCGAACGAAGUGGCGCACGGGUGAGUAACGCGUAAUCAACCUGCCCUACAGAGGGGAACAACAGUUGGAAACGACUGCUAAUACCGCAUACUGAAGGAGGGGAGUGCGUCUGAUUAGCUAGUUGGAGGGGUAACGGCCGACCAAGGCGAUGAUCAGUAGCCGGCGUGCGAGGAUGAACGGCCCCAUUGGGCCUGAUACACGGCCCAUACUCCUACGGUACGCAGCAGUGGGGAAUCGUCCGCAAUGGACGAAAGUCUGAAGGAGUCACGCCGAGUGAGUCAUGACGGCCUUCGUGUUGUAAAGCUCUGUUACUCGGGCCGCGGUCCCGGACUAGAAAGCCACGGCUAACUACGUGCAAGCAGCCGCGGUAAUC